CCUACGGGGGGCUGCAGUGGGGAAUUUUGGACAAUGGGGGCAACCCUGAUCCAGCCAUGCCGCGUGCGGGAAGAAGGCCUUCGGGUUGUAAACCGCUUUUGUCAGGAGAGAAAUCUCUUGGGCUAAUACCCUGAGAGGUUGACGGUACCUGAAGAAUAAGCACCGGCUAACUCCGUGCCAGCAGCCGCGGUAAUACGUAGGGUGCAAGCGUUAAUCGGAAUUACUGGGCGUAAAGCGGCAAGACGCGGUUGAAAUCCCCGGGCUUAACAUGGGAACUGCACUUGUGACUGCACGGCUAGAGUACGGCAGAGGAGGAUGGAAUUCCGCGUGUAGCAGUGAAAUGCGUAGAUAUGCGGAGGAACACCGAUGGCGAAGGCAGUCCCCUGGGCCUGUACUGACGCUCAUGCACGAAAGCGUGGGGAGCAAACAGGAUUAGAUACCCUAGUAGUC
Molecule: ribosomal RNA, 450 nt
Filed under: uncultured bacterium
Lineage: Bacteria
Description: partial 16S ribosomal RNA
Rfam family: Bacterial small subunit ribosomal RNA
Source: RNAcentral